UCCGUAGGUGAACCUGCGGAGGGAUCAUUACUGAGCGAGGGCCUCCGGGUCCGACCUCCAACCCCCUGUCAUCCGACCACUUGCCUUGGGGGCGACCCGGCCUUCGGGCGUCGGGGCCCCCAAUGGACCCGCCAACCCUGCAUCUGUGCGUCCGAGUCAACGAUUGAAUCAAUCAAAACUUUCAACAACGGAUCUCUUGGUUCUGGCAUCGAUGAAGAACGCAGCGAAAUGCGAUAAGUAAUGUGAAUUGCAGAAUUCAGUGAAUCAUCGAAUCUUUGAACGCACAUUGCGCCCUCUGGUAUUCCAGGGGGCAUGCCUGUUCGAGCGUCAUUUCACCACUCCAGCCUCGCUGGGUCUUGGGCGCCGCGGCCUGCCUGCGCGCCCCAAUGUCCUCGGCUGGGCCGUCCGUCUCGAAGCGUUGUGGCAACUCAAUCCGCUUGCGAGGUCGGGAGGCCCGUCGCCGUCAAACCACCCAUCACAGGUUGACCUCGGAUCAGGUAGGGAUACCCGCUGAACUUAAGCAUAUCAAUAAGCGGAGGAAAAGAAACCAACAGGGAUUGCCCCAGUAACGGCG
RNAcentral lists this ribosomal RNA (574 nucleotides) under Friedmanniomyces endolithicus. Its description in RNAcentral is "eukaryotic LSU rRNA". The stretch from base 177 to 330 matches the Rfam family "5.8S ribosomal RNA". Lineage: Eukaryota; Fungi; Ascomycota; Dothideomycetes; Mycosphaerellales; Teratosphaeriaceae. The record is from RNAcentral.